GACGAACGCUGGCGGCGUGCUUAACACAUGCAAGUCGAACGGAAAGGCCCUGCUUUUGUGGGGUGCUCGAGUAGCGAACGGGUGAGUAACACGUGAGUAACCUGCCCUUGACUUUGGGAUAACUUCAGGAAACUGGGGCUAAUACCGGAUAGGAGCUCCUGCUGCAUGGUGGGGGUUGGAAAGUUUCGGCGGUUGGGGAUGGACUCGCGGCUUAUCAGCUUGUUGGUGGGGUAGUGGCUUACCAAGGCUUUGACGGGUAGCCGGCCUGAGAGGGUGACCGGCCACAUUGGGACUGAGAUACGGCCCAGACUCCUACGGGAGGCAGCAGUGGGGAAUAUUGCACAAUGGGCGGAAGCCUGAUGCAGCAACGCCGCAUGCGGGAUGACGGCCUUCGGGUUGUAAACCGCUUUCGCCUGUGACGAAGCGUGAGUGACGGUAAUGGGUAAAGAAGCACCGGCUAACUACGUG
This 468-nucleotide ribosomal RNA is filed under the name uncultured bacterium. RNAcentral's name for it is "partial 16S ribosomal RNA". It matches the Rfam family "Bacterial small subunit ribosomal RNA", at positions 28 to 507 of the family's 1533-position model. The record is from RNAcentral.